UAGGGAAUCUUCGGCAAUGGACGAAAGUCUGACCGAGCAACGCCGCGUGAGUGAAGAAGGUUUUCGGAUCGUAAAACUCUGUUGUUAGAGAAGAACAAGGAUGAGAGUAGAAUGUUCAUCCCUUGACGGUAUCUAACCAGAAAGCCACGGCUAACUACGUGCCAGCAGCCGCGGUAAUACGUAGGGGGCAAGCGUUAUCCGGAUUUACUGGGUGUAAAGGGAGCGUAGACGGCGAAGUAAGUCUGAAGUGAAAACCCAGGGCUCAACCCUGGGACUGCUUUGGAAACUGUUUUGCUAGAGUGUCGGAGAGGUAAGUGGAAUUCCUAGUGUAGCGGUGAAAUGCGUAGAUAUUAGGAAGAAUACCGGUGGCGAAGGCGACUUGCUGGACACAAACUGACGCUGAGGAACGAAAGCGUGGGUAGCAAACAGG
This 430-nucleotide ribosomal RNA is filed under the name Fusobacteriota bacterium. RNAcentral's name for it is "Fusobacteria bacterium partial 16S ribosomal RNA". It matches the Rfam family "Bacterial small subunit ribosomal RNA", at positions 355 to 776 of the family's 1533-position model. Lineage: Bacteria; Fusobacteriati; Fusobacteriota. The record is from RNAcentral.